This 172-nucleotide non-coding RNA is filed under the name uncultured Methylobacterium sp. The record is from RNAcentral. Lineage: Bacteria; Pseudomonadati; Pseudomonadota; Alphaproteobacteria; Hyphomicrobiales; Methylobacteriaceae.
GCGACGGUGCCCCGGCGACGGGGUGAAAAGGGAAUGCGGUGGCGGGCCUCGGCCCGGAUUCCGCGGCUGCCCCCGCAACUGUGAGCGGUAAGCUCCUGCCGAUGGCCACCGGACCUGAUGUCCGGGAAGGCGGCAGGCGCGGCGACCCGCGAGCCAGGAGACCUGCCGUCAC